RNAcentral lists this ribosomal RNA (253 nucleotides) under uncultured bacterium. RNAcentral's name for it is "partial 16S ribosomal RNA". It matches the Rfam family "Bacterial small subunit ribosomal RNA", at positions 524 to 776 of the family's 1533-position model. The record is from RNAcentral.
GACGAGGGAUCCUAGCGUUGUUCGGAAUCAUUGGGCGUAAAGAGUAUGUAGGCGGCCUUGUAAGUCAGUUGUGAAAGCCCCGGGCUCAACCCGGGAAGUGCAAUUGAUACUGCUUGGCUUGAAUGUGGAAGAGGGUAGUAGAAUUCCGGGUGUAGUGGUGAAAUACGUAGAUAUCUGGAGGAAUACCGGUGGCGAAGGCGGCUACCUGGUCCUACAUUGACGCUGAGAUACGAAAGCAUGGGGAGCAAACAGG